UCGACCUGAGGUCAGGCAAGAACACCCGCUGAACUUAAGCAUAUCAAUAAGCGGAGGAAAAGAAACUAACUAGGAUUCCCUUAGUAGCGGCGAGCGAACCGGGAUGAGCCCAACUUGUAAAUCAUUAGCCCUCGGCUGAUUGAAUUGUAGUCUCAAGAUGCGAUCUCUGCAGCUAGCAGUGCCCAAUUUUCCUUGGAAAAGGGAGUCAGAGAGGGUGAGAACCCCGUCGGCACUUGCCUCAGCUGCUUCACGAGGCGUUUUCUCAGAGUCGGGUUGCUUGGGAAUGCAGCCCUAAGUAGGUGGUAAAUCCCAUCUAAGGCUAAAUACUGACGGGAGACCGAUAGCGAACAAGUACCGUGAGGGAAAGAUGAAAAGAACUUUGAAAAGAGAGUCAAAAGUGCUUGAAAUUGUUGAGGGGGAAGGAAUUGGAAGCCGUUUGUGCGCCCGGGCUUAAGCAGGCAAUUCCGCCUGAUGUACGCCUUGGGUGCCGGUCAGCAUCGGCUACCGGACCGGGAAAAUAACUUUCCUUCGGAGAGUGCAUACCGGGCUCGGUGGCCGAGGAUUUGAAAGUCGCUCUUUGAGUCCUUCGGGAAACUGCGCCUUCAAGAUGCUGGCAAAAUGGCUUUUAAUUCGCCGUCUUGAAACACGGAAAUCGAAUUCCGCGGCCGCCAUGGCGGCCGGGAGCAUGCG
Molecule: ribosomal RNA, 690 nt
Filed under: uncultured Trebouxia photobiont
Lineage: Eukaryota; Viridiplantae; Chlorophyta; Trebouxiophyceae; Trebouxiales; Trebouxiaceae
Description: eukaryotic LSU rRNA
Rfam family: Eukaryotic large subunit ribosomal RNA
Source: RNAcentral